GGAGGGGCUGCGUACUGCUACACUGCAAGUCGAACGAUGACUUUUGUGCUUGCCAAAAUGAUUAGUGGCGAACGGGUGAGUAACACGUGAGUAACCUGCCCUUAACUUCGGGAUAAGCCUGGGAAACCGGGUCUAAUACCGGAUACGACGGAGCCCCGCAUGGGGGUCCGUGGAAAGCUUGAUGCGGUUUUGGAUGGACUCGCGGCCUAUCAGCUUGUUGGUUGGGGUAACGGCCCACCAAGGCGACGACGGGUAGCCGGCCUGAGAGGGUGACCGGCCACACUGGGACUGAGACACGGCCCAGACUCCUACGGGAGGCAGCAGUGGGGAAUAUUGCACAAUGGGCGAAAGCCUGAUGCAGCGACGCCGCGUGAGGGACGAAGGCCUUCGGGUUGUAAACCUCUUUCAGCAGGGAAGAAGCGAAAGUGACGGUACCUGCAGAAGAAGCGCCGGCUAACUACGUGCCAGCAGCCGCGGUAAUACGUAGGGCGCAAGCGUUAUCCGGAAUUAUUGGGCGUAAAGAGCUCGUAGGCGGUUUGUCGCGUCUGCUGUGAAAGCCCGGGGCUCAACCCCGGGUCUGCAGUGGGUACGGGCAGACUAGAGUGCAGUAGGGGAGACUGGAAUUCCUGGUGUAGCGGUGAAAUGCGCAGAUAUCAGGAGGAACACCGAUGGCGAAGGCAGGUCUCUGGGCUGUAACUGACGCUGAGGAGCGAAAGCAUGGGGAGCGAACAGGAUUAGAUACCCUGGUAGUCCAUGCCGUAAACGUUGGGCACUAGGUGUGGGGGACAUUCCACGUUUUCCGCGCCGUAGCUAACGCAUUAAGUGCCCCGCCUGGGGAGUACGGCCGCAAGGCUAAAACUCAAAGGAAUUGACGGGGGCCCGCACAAGCGGCGGAGCAUGCGGAUUAAUUCGAUGCAACGCGAAGAACCUUACCAAGGCUUGACAUGAACCGGAAAGGCCUGGAAACAGGUCCCCCACUUGUGGCCGGUUUACAGGUGGUGCAUGGUUGUCGUCAGCUCGUGUCGUGAGAUGUUGGGUUAAGUCCCGCAACGAGCGCAACCCUCGUUCUAUGUUGCCAGCGCGUUAUGGCGGGGAAUCAUAGGAAACGGCCGGGGUCACUCGGAAGAAGGUGGGGACGAGUCAAAUCAUCAUGCCCCUUUUGCCUUGGGCUUCCCCCU
This 1178-nucleotide ribosomal RNA is filed under the name Arthrobacter sp. Its description in RNAcentral is "bacterial SSU rRNA". It matches the Rfam family "Bacterial small subunit ribosomal RNA", at positions 31 to 1222 of the family's 1533-position model. Lineage: Bacteria; Bacillati; Actinomycetota; Actinomycetes; Micrococcales; Micrococcaceae. The record is from RNAcentral.